GCUUUAACAUGGGGGUACCUGCU
Molecule: microRNA, 23 nt
Filed under: Ornithorhynchus anatinus (platypus)
Lineage: Eukaryota; Metazoa; Chordata; Mammalia; Monotremata; Ornithorhynchidae
Also listed under: 14 other names
Description: Oan-Mir-430-P2_5p* (star (passenger))
Source: RNAcentral